RNAcentral lists this ribosomal RNA (234 nucleotides) under uncultured bacterium. Its description in RNAcentral is "partial 16S ribosomal RNA". It matches the Rfam family "Bacterial small subunit ribosomal RNA", at positions 96 to 334 of the family's 1533-position model. The record is from RNAcentral.
UGGCGGACGGGUGAGUAAUGUCUGGGAAACUGCCCGAUGGAGGGGGAUAACUACUGGAAACGGUAGCUAAUACCGCAUAACGUCGCAAGACCAAAGAGGGGACCUUCGGGCCUCUUGCCAUCGGAUGUGCCCAGAUGGGAUUAGCUAGUAGGUGGGGUAACGGCUCACCUAGGCGACGAUCCCUAGCUGGUCUGAGAGGAUGACCAGCCGCACUGGAACUGAGACACGGUCCAG